UUCAUAUGGGCCGGAUUUUAUCCGGCCCAGCCCGGAACCCGGAUAACCGGGUUUCCGGUUAUGGUUUUCGGCCCGGAUAAAUCCGGGCCGGAACCCAUAUUUAUAAAAACCGGAAGCAUCCGGUCCGGACCCGGGUAUAAAACCGGGUUCCGUAUUAUACCCGGUUGCUAACCGGGUUUCUUUAUAAUGUAAAUGUGAAUCGUGACUUCAGUCUUCUCUCUCUCUCUCUCUCUCUCUCUCUCUCGUUAUGAACUUAGCAGAACUUAGAAACCCUAAGCUCCCUCCGUGAAAUCUUGCUGCCGUCUCUCUCUCGCCGUCGUCGCUGGCCGGACUUCGAUCAGAUUAUGAAUUCACUGACCCAAGCGCUGCAAUCUUCUGGAGUUGAUUUGUCACAAGCCUGCAUCUCAGUGCAGAUUAAUGCCGGUAAACCUGCAAAUAGCAGACUGAAUGGUGUAGCAGACUGAAUUUCAUAUAUUGUAAUUUGUGUUUUGUAAUAUGUAUAAAUACAAAAUAAUGAAAUAUGUAGUGAUUGUAUAAUGUAUUAUGUUUUUUUA
This is a long non-coding RNA of Carya illinoinensis, 554 nucleotides long. RefSeq lists it as uncharacterized. The transcript is spliced from 2 exons. NCBI's taxonomy places the organism in Eukaryota, Viridiplantae, Streptophyta, Magnoliopsida, Fagales, Juglandaceae. The record is from RefSeq and is a predicted model, not a curated record.